This 1372-nucleotide ribosomal RNA is filed under the name uncultured bacterium. Its description in RNAcentral is "bacterial SSU rRNA". It matches the Rfam family "Bacterial small subunit ribosomal RNA", at positions 28 to 1381 of the family's 1533-position model. The record is from RNAcentral.
GAUGAACGCUGGCGGCGUGCCUAAUACAUGCAAGUCGAGCGAACGGACGAGAAGCUUGCUUCUCUGAUGUUAGCGGCGGACGGGUGAGUAACACGUGGAUAACCUACCUAUAAGACUGGGAUAACUUCGGGAAACCGGAGCUAAUACCGGAUAAUAUUUUGAACCGCAUGGUUCAAAAGUGAAAGACGGUCUUGCUGUCACUUAUAGAUGGAUCCGCGCUGCAUUAGCUAGUUGGUAAGGUAACGGCUUACCAAGGCAACGAUGCAUAGCCGACCUGAGAGGGUGAUCGGCCACACUGGAACUGAGACACGGUCCAGACUCCUACGGGAGGCAGCAGUAGGGAAUCUUCCGCAAUGGGCGAAAGCCUGACGGAGCAACGCCGCGUGAGUGAUGAAGGUCUUCGGAUCGUAAAACUCUGUUAUUAGGGAAGAACGUAUGUGUAAGUAACUGUGCACAUCUUGACGGUACCUAAUCAGAAAGCCACGGCUAACUACGUGCCAGCAGCCGCGGUAAUACGUAGGUGGCAAGCGUUAUCCGGAAUUAUUGGGCGUAAAGCGCGCGUAGGCGGUUUUUUAAGUCUGAUGUGAAAGCCCACGGCUCAACCGUGGAGGGUCAUUGGAAACUGGAAAACUUGAGUGCAGAAGAGGAAAGUGGAAUUCCAUGUGUAGCGGUGAAAUGCGCAGAGAUAUGGAGGAACACCAGUGGCGAAGGCGACUUUCUGGUCUGUAACUGACGCUGAUGUGCGAAAGCGUGGGGAUCAAACAGGAUUAGAUACCCUGGUAGUCCACGCCGUAAACGAUGAGUGCUAAGUGUUAGGGGGUUUCCGCCCCUUAGUGCUGCAGCUAACGCAUUAAGCACUCCGCCUGGGGAGUACGACCGCAAGGUUGAAACUCAAAGGAAUUGACGGGGACCCGCACAAGCGGUGGAGCAUGUGGUUUAAUUCGAAGCAACGCGAAGAACCUUACCAAAUCUUGACAUCCUUUGACAACUCUAGAGAUAGAGCCUUCCCCUUCGGGGGACAAAGUGACAGGUGGUGCAUGGUUGUCGUCAGCUCGUGUCGUGAGAUGUUGGGUUAAGUCCCGCAACGAGCGCAACCCUUAAGCUUAGUUGCCAUCAUUAAGUUGGGCACUCUAAGUUGACUGCCGGUGACAAACCGGAGGAAGGUGGGGAUGACGUCAAAUCAUCAUGCCCCUUAUGAUUUGGGCUACACACGUGCUACAAUGGACAAUACAAAGGGCAGCGAAACCGCGAGGUCAAGCAAAUCCCAUAAAGUUGUUCUCAGUUCGGAUUGUAGUCUGCAACUCGACUACAUGAAGCUGGAAUCGCUAGUAAUUGUAGAUCAGCAUGCUACGGUGAAUACGUUCCCGGGUCU